This is a non-coding RNA of Triticum aestivum (bread wheat), 125 nucleotides long. The record is from Rfam. Lineage: Eukaryota; Viridiplantae; Streptophyta; Magnoliopsida; Poales; Poaceae.
UGGCUACUCCCUCCGUCCGGAAAUACUUGUCCGAGGAAUGGAUGUAUCUGUAUGUUUUUUAGCUCUAGAUACAUCCAUUUGUAUCCAUUUCUACGACAAGUAUUUCUGGACGGAGGGAGUAGUUC